GAUGAACGCUGGCGGCGUGCCUAAUACAUGCAAGUCGAGCGAACAGACGAGGAGCUUGCUCCUCUGACGUUAGCGGCGGACGGGUGAGUAACACGUGGAUAACCUACCUAUAAGACUGGGAUAACUUCGGGAAACCGGAGCUAAUACCGGAUAACAUUUUGAACCGCAUGGUUCAACAGUGAAAUACGGUCUUGCUGUCACUUAUAGAUGGAUCCGCGCCGCAUUAGAUAGUUGGUAAGGUAACGGCUUACCAAGGCAACGAUGCGUAGCCGACCUGAGAGGGUGAUCGGCCACACUGGAACUGAGACACGGUCCAGACUCCUACGGGAGGCAGCAGUAGGGAAUCUUCCGCAAUGGGCGAAAGCCUGACGGAGCAACGCCGCGUGAGUGAUGAAGGUCUUCGGAUCGUAAAACUCUGUUAUUAGGGAAGAACAAAUGUGUAAGUAACUAUGCACGUCUUGACGGUACCUAAUCAGAAAGCCACGGCUAACUACGUG
RNAcentral lists this ribosomal RNA (497 nucleotides) under uncultured bacterium. Its description in RNAcentral is "partial 16S ribosomal RNA". It matches the Rfam family "Bacterial small subunit ribosomal RNA", at positions 28 to 507 of the family's 1533-position model. The record is from RNAcentral.